Long non-coding RNA from Prosopis cineraria, 507 nucleotides. RefSeq lists it as uncharacterized. The transcript is spliced from 2 exons. Lineage: Eukaryota; Viridiplantae; Streptophyta; Magnoliopsida; Fabales; Fabaceae. The record is from RefSeq and is a predicted model, not a curated record.
CUAUGGCUUCAAGUCUUCGAUUUUCCCUUUAAAAUCUGAACUACUAGCUUCCUUGUCUUCUCUCUUCAUUUUUCUCUCAUUGGCUCUGAAACAACGUUACCUUUGGGCUUUCUGGAGAAGAGGCUAUCCAUGAUGUCGCUUGGAUUGCCAUUGGCUAUUGACUAAACAGGUUUUGUUUGCAUUACUGGUUUAUGGAGUUUGCUGGUUUUGUGUUUGGGAUUUGCCGGAAUGAAGAAGGUUACAAUGAGGAGGAGGAGGAAGAGAUGACAUGGAUGAGAAGGCAAUCUGAUAAUCUGAGAGAAACACAAUAACAAUAAGGUGGAUGAGAAACAUUUGACGUGGCAAGGGAGGAAGGGUGAUGUUGUCUUUAAUGUGGCAUUCCAAUCCGUAAAUAACGGUCAAAUUAUCUUUUUUAAACGGUCAAUGCUGUCAAACCCUAUCAGCAGGGUGAAAUUGUACCAAAUUAAAAAACUUUGGAAUAAAAUUAUGCCAAAAAAUAUUUUAGGA